AUGUUGAUAAGGAGGACUUGGCUACAAGUCCUAGAUGUUUAUUGCCAGGCUUCAGGUCAAUGAAUCAACUAUGAUAAAUCCUUAAUCUUCUUCAGCAAAGGUGUCCCAGAGAGCAUACGCUUGGAGAUAAAAACAUUGUUAAGUGUGCCAAACCAGACUUUGAAUGAAAAAUACCUUGGCAUGCUGUCUGACAUUGGUAGUUCAAAGAAUGGGGCUUUUAAGUAUCUUAAAGAUUGACUCUGGAGCAAGGUGCAAGGGUGGAUUGAAAACUCCAUGUCUACGGCGGGCAAGGAAGUUCUAGUAAAAGCAGUUGCCCAAUCUGUUCCUGUUUUUUCCAUGUCAUGUUUCAAAUUGCCAAGAGGGUUACACUCCUAG
RNAcentral lists this ribosomal RNA (375 nucleotides) under Triticum aestivum (bread wheat). RNAcentral describes it as "partial small subunit ribosomal RNA". Lineage: Eukaryota; Viridiplantae; Streptophyta; Magnoliopsida; Poales; Poaceae. The record is from RNAcentral.